This 48-nucleotide non-coding RNA is filed under the name unclassified sequences. The record is from Rfam.
UGGGCUGGUCGAACGACCCUGGUCCACCGAGCAGCGGGGAAUUCCCCG